GUGUAACCCAGAGUAAAAUCUGUUUUACUAGCAUUUAGUAAUUUCCUGCACUUAUUUCCUGCCAUUGAACGCAUCACAAAUACAUGACUCCAACCACAUGACUUUGCUCAGCCAAUCGGAUGGCAUGUAGGUCAUAGUAAGCCUGUCCCGGCUUCCUCCCGUCAGAUGCGUGGAGGCAAGCCAGGUGACAGAGCUGUUGCAGACGCUGAUUACUGUGAGCCAGAGCCAUAGUGUUGUUGUACGCUGAACAGAACGGAAUUGGCCAGGUGAACCUUUUUGGGUAUGAAAAAGGAUGGCGGGCCAAUGAACGGCUAGGAGCAGGACUCAUUCUGCAUUGAAGCUUCCACUGGUUGGAGGCGGCGGCGAGAGGGGAGACCUCGGCUCAUCCAGCUGGACAGCCUGACCAGGAGGAGCCGAACAUUAACUCGGGUCUUCCAGGGCACCCUGCAGACUCGGCUGCUGGCAUUGGCGAGAGAGUGCGGCCGCGGCUGGGAUGACGUGAACGCCAAACAGGAGUCCAUCACAGGUCGACUGCAGCUCCUUGUCUCAGAGUGGGAGGGGUUUGAAGCACAAAGGGAGGAGCUUGUCAUUUGGUUGGCUGUUAUGGAUGUCCACCUGAGUGAGGUUGACCAGCUGACAGGAAACACCUGUGGAAAAACUGAAACAACUGCAGGUGUGGGGUUGUUUUGAUAUGACAUAUAUUUGAUAUGAUACACACGUCAGAGACAUUAUCCUAAACUGGACUAACAAAGGACCAUGAGUCCAACAUGAAACUUACUUUACAUAACGUAAGGCUGAAGUUCAUUGAUAAUUUUAAUCAAAAACUUGUUGCUGAAAUAUUUUUACUGAACAUGCAAACAUCUGCUGAUGAAAAUGUGUUGAUUUAUUGGUCUGUUAUGAAGCUACUGCUAUUUCUAAUGUGUUUUUAUCACUUUCUGAUGUUUUAUUGAACAAUACAUGUAUUAAUUGUGUUAUCUAUAGAUAUAGUAUUUAUAUAUAUUUAUUUAUAGUAUAGCAAAUAUAUUUAAUUAUUAGUGUUUAAAUGACUAAUAUGUGACAUGUAUUAGUUGUGAUGUUGUGCUGAGGGUUAAAAUGCCUUUUUGUCUUUUGGUAUAUUAUGAAAUGACAAACCAUUAAUGUCUAUGCUGUGCUCGUGUUUAUUUUUACCCUACUCCUAUUCAAUUUAUGAUACAUUUUAUUUUAAAAGAUUUAAAAUGGUUUAAAGAACCAACCAAAAAAAGUUCUUUAAAAU
This is a long non-coding RNA of Oreochromis aureus, 1252 nucleotides long. The record is from Ensembl. NCBI's taxonomy places the organism in Eukaryota, Metazoa, Chordata, Actinopteri, Cichliformes, Cichlidae.